AGCGAACGCUGGCGGCAGGCUUAACACAUGCAAGUCGAGCGGGCAUCCUUGUGGUAUCCGCGGCAGACGGGUGAGUAACGCGUGGGAACGUGCCCUUCGGUUCGGAAUAACUCAGGGAAACUUGAGCUAAUACCGGAUACGCCCUUUUGGGGAAAGGUUUACUGCCGAAGGAUCGGCCCGCGUCUGAUUAGCUAGUUGGUGAGGUUAUGGCUCACCAAGGCGACGAUCAGUAGCUGGUCUGAGAGGAUGAUCAGCCACACUGGGACUGAGACACGGCCCAGACUCCUACGGGAGGCAGCAGUGGGGAAUAUUGGACAAUGGGGGCAACCCUGAUCCAGCCAUGCCGCGUGAGUGAUGACGGCCUUAGGGUUGUAAAGCUCUUUUCUCCGGGACGAUAAUGACGGUACCGGAGGAAUAAGCCCCGGCUAACUUCGUG
Molecule: ribosomal RNA, 436 nt
Filed under: uncultured bacterium
Lineage: Bacteria
Description: partial 16S ribosomal RNA
Rfam family: Bacterial small subunit ribosomal RNA
Source: RNAcentral